Olea europaea var. sylvestris is the source of this 1014-nucleotide long non-coding RNA. RefSeq lists it as uncharacterized. Lineage: Eukaryota; Viridiplantae; Streptophyta; Magnoliopsida; Lamiales; Oleaceae. The record is from RefSeq and is a predicted model, not a curated record. The transcript is spliced from 3 exons.
UCUAUGCUAGAUAUGCUGUUUAUUUCAGUUUUGUUAGUUUCUAGGUUGGUUCGUAUCACGCAUCAUCAUUAUUAGUCGCAUCUAGACCUCCAACACUGGGCAUUGUAAGCUGAGGAAUUGGUCUUGAAGGUCUUUCUAAUGUCUUGGCUGGUCUCUGGGGUACUGGAACGGGUUCCACAACUUUGACCGAGAAUGUACAUACAAUUGCUGUUACUAAAAUGGGAAGUCGAAGAGCAGUUGAGUUGGGCUCAUGCAUUUUAAUUAUCCUAUCCUUUAUAGGUAAAGUCGGGGGUUUUAUUGCUUCAGUACCUGACGUCGUGGUAGCCGCUCUCGUGCUUUACGUGGGCAAUGCUUACAGCAUUGGGGUUGUCAAAUUUACGAUAUAGUGAGGCUGGGAGUUCAAGGAACAUUAUAAUUGUUGGCUUGUCUCUGUUCUUUUCCCUAUAAAUACCAGCUUAUUUUCAGCAGUAUGGUAUCUCUCCAAACUCGAACUUGUCCAUUCUGAGUUACUUCCAGCCGUAUAUUAUUGCUUCUUAUGGUCCUAUACGAACCAAAUUUGGAGAGCUAAAUUAUGUGCUGAAUACAUUGUUGUCCUUUAACAUGGUGAUUGCAUUCGUGGUAGCUGUAGUCCUUGACAACAAGUUCCAGGCAGUCGACAGGAACGUGGUGUAUGUCUGGUCUGAACCCGAGGCAGCUAGAAGAGAGCCUGCUGUAUGAAAAGACUACGAAUUGCCAUACAGAGUUGGCAGAGUUUUCAAAUGGGUAAAAUGGCUAGGGAUGUAAAUGAUUUUUCAUCGUCUCUCUUGAAGAUCUUCCGAUAUCAUCUGAUACUGUCAUGAAUGAGUCUUCUUGGACUUGUGCGUGCUUAUUCCAGUGUGGAUUUCGCGGGCUUACAGAUCUUAAAGAGAUGAGUUAUUUUGUGUACAAUGCAGAUUAGGUAAUUGUUUUCGUUUCUCAUGUAUUAUAAUCCUUAAAUUGUAAAAACAUGUAUGUAUAUUUUUUGAGCGGUCUUCA